GGGGUGAUGGCGCAGCUGGGAGCGCGUUAGACUGAAGAAUCAACUUCAGUUUCCGACUUGUUUCGGGGUUAUCUAAAGGUCACCGGUUCGAUCCCGGUUCAUCCCA
This 106-nucleotide transfer RNA is filed under the name Aspergillus taichungensis. RNAcentral describes it as "tRNA-Phe". It matches the Rfam family "tRNA". Rfam says of the family: Transfer RNA (tRNA) molecules are approximately 80 nucleotides in length. Their secondary structure includes four short double-helical elements and three loops (D, anti-codon, and T loops). Further hydrogen bonds mediate the characteristic L-shaped molecular structure. tRNAs have two regions of fundamental functional importance: the anti-codon, which is responsible for specific mRNA codon recognition, and the 3' end, to which the tRNAs corresponding amino acid is attached (by aminoacyl-tRNA synthetases). tRNAs cope with the degeneracy of the genetic code in two manners: having more than one tRNA (with a specific anti-codon) for a particular amino acid; and 'wobble' base-pairing, i.e. permitting non-standard base-pairing at the 3rd anti-codon position. Lineage: Eukaryota; Fungi; Ascomycota; Eurotiomycetes; Eurotiales; Aspergillaceae. The record is from RNAcentral.